ACAUGCAAGGUCGAACGGUAGCACAGGAGAGCUUGCUCUCCGGGUGACGAGUGCGGACGGGUGAGUAAUGUCUGGGAAACUGCCCGAUAGAGGGGGAUAACUACUGGAAACGGUAGCUAAUACCGCAUAACCUCGCAAGAGCAAAGUGGGGGACCUUCGGGCCUCACGCUAUCGGAUGUGCCCAGAUGGGAUUAGCUAGUAGUGGGGUAACGGCUCACCUAGGCGACGAUCCCUAGCUGGUCUGAGAGGAUGACCAGCCACACUGGAAUGAGACACGGCCAGACUCCACGGGAGGCACUGUGGGGAAUA
This 309-nucleotide ribosomal RNA is filed under the name Rahnella aquatilis. Its description in RNAcentral is "bacterial SSU rRNA". It matches the Rfam family "Bacterial small subunit ribosomal RNA", at positions 49 to 363 of the family's 1533-position model. Lineage: Bacteria; Pseudomonadati; Pseudomonadota; Gammaproteobacteria; Enterobacterales; Yersiniaceae. The record is from RNAcentral.